GAAGUAUUAUAGUGUGGUUAAUAACACUCAAGAAGAGCCAUGACGCCCUUAUUAACUCACUUGAUUCCUUCCGAUUGUACUGGUGGAUCCAUUUAAAGUGAUGGAGGACAAUUUUCACUUGCUUUCGUCAAGCAGGGACUCGCCUGCAUUUUCAGAUAUUUGCCCACUCAUUGAUAAAGCAGGAUUCCUGUGCCUUUUAUCCGAGGGAAGAAUUGAGGCAGCUCUCAGUCUUCGGGUCUAUAAUCCUGGGGAGGAGUUCCCGUCGUGGCUCAGUGGUUAACGAAUCUGACUAGGAACCAUGAGGUUGUGGAUUCGAUCCCUGGCAUCGAUCAGCUGCUUAAGGAUCUGGUGUUGCCAUGAGCUGUGAUGUAGGCUGGCAGCCGUAGCUCUGAUUCUACCCCUAGCCUGGGAACUUCCAUAUGCUGCGUGUGCAGACCUAAAAAAAAGGAAAAAAUAAAUAAAUAAAAAAUAAAAUCCUGGGAGAGUUGCAGGGACCAGGAAAGCAGUGCUAUGGAUACCAAGCUGGAUGGAGACAGUAGCCUCACGCUGACUCCUGUGCCUGGCGUGGCUCAAGCCAGCUGUGCUGCUCCCACCAGCUUCUUCCUGGUCUCCUCCACGGCUCUGUGCCUGUAUCACAGUGGGUGCUGAGGGGUUUGUUGCAGCUCCAGAGGUCCUUGGGUCCCCUCUGUGGUGCAGCUCUUCUCCGUCAUCCCUUUUUUACACACUUUCCAGGCUGCCACAGUCACUCCCUACACCACAGCCACAGCAACACCAGAUCCAAGCCGCGUCUGCAACUUACACCACAGCUCACGGCAAUGCUUGAUCCUUAACCCACUGAGGGAGGCCAGGGAUUGAACCCACAUCCUCAUGGAUCCUAGUUGGGUUUGUUACCUCUGAGUCAUGAUGGGAACUCCACUAUUUAUCUUCUAUUCAAAUGUCGUACUUGCCUCAAUGGGAUUUCUGGUGAAUGGAAUUCUCUUUCUUACACCAAUAAGAGAUGUCAACUCUAGUCUCAAAAGAGGGAGCCAGACAACACCCUCAAAAUGUGUCCACUCUGUGGGCCCUUCCUCUGCUCGUGCCUGCUUCCCUUAAGGUCCCCUCUUCCCUGUCCUCACACCUCGCCACCUCCCCACUGUCCCCCUGGCUAGUCUCUUAUCUAUUGUUAGAGAAAUGGGCAAGGGUGUGAAGGACCCAGGUUUGGGUCCCCAGCCAUGUGACCUCAAAACCCAGCCUCUCCUAAAAUCAGUGGAAGAGGGUUGUGCCACAAGCAGGUUCUCUGCCCCAAUCAAGUGCCCCCGGGUAGGAUUCUAUAUGUCCCAUUUGCCAUGCUGCUCACCUGUUCUCACUUUCCUGUUGUUUCUUCUGGGAUGCUGUGUAGCUGUGGGAACUAUCUCCCUAUGCGGGGGCUAUGCUGUGGCUGCACGUCUGUGGGAGUCUCUCUACUCAGGGGGAGAGGCUGCCUAUUGGGGAAAGAACUGAUCAUCCAGAUUACAGCCCGAUGAUCAAAGCUUGAUGCUCCUGGCUCCUUGAGGCCAUGAUCUGGAUGCUCAGAUUCAGGCUGCCUGCUCUGGGCCCACACUUUAGGGGUCCCCACCUGGGUGUUGCUCUAGCUGUGUCCUGCUGCUGGAGGACAGGACUCCUUGGGGCCAAAGGCCUGUGACUCCUCCCCCACCGGCACCCCAAGCUCGUCCCCCCUCCCGUGACUGUGCAUGGGGGCCGCAGUGCCGGCUGGAGUGGGGGUGGGGAGAGGUGGGGAGUGGGAUGCAGGCCACGGGACCUUCUUUCUGCUCUUCCUCCUGAGCCCCACAACGUUAGGAACCACCUGACCGUUCCGUUUUUACUUUUUUCUGGACAAAAGCUUCUGCCCCUGAACACAAGAAGAGACCCCUCCAGCCCCUGAUUCGGAACGAAAUGUAAAUCAGGGCAGGUCCGUCCUCCUAACUCAAAAGCUUUUGGAAACUUUCCAACACAACCUAGCGUGCAAUCCAAGGGCCCAAAGACUCCACCCAAUCCUGCCCCUGAGCUUCGGUGUUUGGGGAACCGGCUGCUGUUUUCCAAGACCUAUGCCCUGGGGAGUGGGGGUGGGGGUUGGGGACAUCACGGAGAGAGAGGCCCCAGGGCUCCAUGGGGUCAGCCUGCCUCUCCCUCCCUGGUCCCACUGCUCCCCCACACCCCACACCCCUGCCCCGAAGGCACUGUGGACCUUUCUGCAACACCCAGCCGCAUCCCCGCUUCGGCUAGGUUGUUCUUGUAAUUUCCUCUUGUGGGAGCACAUUUCCCGUAGAGCCUCUUGUUCCCAUAGAGCCUCUUUUUCCCGUAGAGCCUCAUGUUGUUCACACCUCUGCCGGUUUCUUCUGCAGUCGUCUUAUCUGCGAUGUCUUCCCUGACCCUGUCACCACAUGGUGACCAACCCCCUUUUCCCCCUCGAGCUUUGUUUUCUUUCCCAUUCCAAGUUAUCUUAUAAAUAUUUUUGUUCUCGGGACCUAGCCCUGUGCCUGGACAUAGAAAGUUUCAGAUAAGUACUUGUCGAAUGAAUGAAUGAAUGGGUCCCAGUCAUCAUGUUUCUUUAUCACCUUCAGAAUGUUUUGCUACCAGAGUUCCCGUCGUGGCACAUCAGAAACAAAUCCGACUAGGAUCCAUGUGGUUGUGGGUCCGAUCCCUGGCCUCGCUCAGUGGGUCGAGGAUCCAGCAUUGCCAUGAGUUGUGGUGUAGGUCACAGACACUGCUUGGGUCUGGCAUUGCUGUGGCUGUGGUGUAGGCUGGCAGCUGUAGCUCCGAUUAGACCCCUAGCCUGGGAACCUCCAUAUGCCGUGGGUGCAACCCUAAAAAGACGGUAAAACAAAACAAAACAAAACAAGGAUGUUUUGCUACAUAAACAGAGAUCUUUUCUGAACAUCUUUUUACAGAUACCUUUGCAACUUUUUUUUUUUUUGGCUUUCUUUUAUUCUUGCUUCUACACCUGCAGCAUAUGGAUGUUUCCAGGGUAUGGGUUGAAUUGGAGCUACAGCUGCUGGCCACAGUCUCAGCCACAGCAACGCGGGAUCCGAUUCAUGUCUUACACCACAGCUCACGGCAACACUGGAUCCUUAACCCACUGAAGGAGGCUAGGGGUUGAAUGCGCAUCCUCAUGAAUAUUAGUUGGGUCUGUAACCCGUUGAGCCACAAUGAGAACUCCAUACCUUUGCGACUUUUGGGAAAUUAAACGUCCACUGUGGAUAGAGUAACUGAUCCCUGGUUUCCCAGGUUACUGCACAGCCUCAGAUGGACAGCGUCUGUCUGCAGUCAGCCUUCGUUUAUCACUGGAUGCCAAAUCCUACUCCAGCCUGCCAUGAAGAUGGCCAGACCUUCCACUUUCCUCUGCUUGGACCUGUGGAAGGAACACUGAGAGGCAGGGCAUGAGAUAGCCUCCCGUUUCUCAUUUUGGACCCCACCCCCACCCCGGCAGUUAUCAGGCUUGAGCAAUUGCUUACAUGCUGCAAACUGCCUUUGUUGACUUUUGCACCGGGGAGUUUUCCAUCCUGAGCUGGAUGAUGCCAUCCGUGCAUGUCCACUACCCAGAUGGCUGAGAACAAGUGCCCAGCUCUCAGGAUCUUGAGGAAUAAUAACAUGGUGGUUUCAAACCACUGUAUUUGGAGACAGUUUUUCAUCCACAACAUAUAAUAGAAACAGUCCCAAUGCUUGUUUGUGCAUAACUCUUGUCUGCAUUUCCUGACUAGGAAAAAAAUGUUGCCAGGGGCUUGACCCACCCCUGACCACCUGCAAGAAGAGCUUGCUUCUCCUUUGGGUAGGGGACAUGGAUUUGGCUAGGUGUAUCAGUCUUAGGUUCACCUGCAUAAAAUGGAAAAUACAAGACCUCAGUAGCUGAAACAAGAUAAGUGUUUUCCUCUCUUGAGAUGGAAUCUGAAGGAGUUCCCAUCCUGGCUCAGUGGUUAAUGAACCCAUCUAGGAACCAUAAGGUUGCAGGUUUGAUCCCUGGGCUCGCUCAGUGGGUUAAAGAUCCAGUGUUGCGGUGAGCUGUGGUGUGAGUUGCAGGCGCAAUGUGAGAGCCUUAACCCACUGAGCACUGAUUCAGGGAUCAGACCCGAAUCCUCAUGGACACUAGUCAGGUUCUUAACCCCCUGAGCCACAAUGGAAACUCCACAAAUAACAGUUUUUGCUUCUUGCUUUUCUUACCCUGUUAAGGGGCAAAGGUGGGGCUCACAGGCCUGAGUUCUAUAGCCGUUGGUCACCUGAAAAAUUGGGACAAUUCGAGGAGAAGGUGGGCCUUCCGGUGGCGAGAGCAGAUUAUUAAGGCAGAUUAUUACCAAAACUAACUACACACACUCAUGAAGGGAAUUGCCAGGGGCCCCUGUUAAGCCUGGGGUCAUCAACCCGAAUCCAUCAAGAUGAAGGGAAGGGGCUCUACCCAUGCGGUUUUGGGAGCUGGGGGACAGGGGACAGGGGGCUGGAGGCUGCUGCUGGCCAGACUAUGAGCUGUUGAGAAGGCCAAGGACCGCCCCAUCUUCAGGGACAUGUCUGGCUGCUGAUGGCCAGCCUAUAGGACAACCCCCCUUCCUGGAGCCACCAGGACCAUCAGCUUCCCAGAGGAACAGGGCCAGACCCCCAGGGGAAGACAACCUCCCUCUCUUUGCGGUGGAUUAUUUCGGGCAACAUGAGGUGUCUGAGAACGGAGAUUUAAUUUAAAUGCCAACUUCUCUUGCUAGAAAGACUGAGUCUUGUGGGUGAGUGAAGGGCAGGAGUGAACAUGUUUGCUGAGUUGUUGGAUCCAGCCAGGGAUCAAAUCGGAGCCACAGCUGCGACCCAAGCCACUGUGGAGACAAUGCCAGAUCCUUAACCUGAUGCACCAUCGUGGGAACUACAAAUGGUGCUUUUGUGUUAUAUGCCUUAAAUCAUGUGUUGUGGACUGAAUUGUGUCCUGCAAAAAAAAAAGAUACAUGUAAGUCCUGACCCCCAAUAACUCAGGAUGUGACCUUAUCUGGAGACAGGGUCUGAUAAAGUUAAUCGAGUUAAAAUGAGGUCAUUGAGAGGGGCCCUAAUGUGGAGUUCCCUUUGUGGCUCAUUGGAAACGAACCCAACUCAUAUCCAUGAGGAUGUGAGUUUGUUCCCUGGCCUUGCUCAGUGGGUCGGGGAUCUGGCAUUGCUGGUGAGCUGUAGUGUGGGUCGCAGAUGCGGUUCAGAUCCUGCUUUGCUGUUGCUGUGGCUGUAGCUCCAAUUUGAUCCCUAGCCUGGGAACUUCCAUAUGCCUUGGAUGUGGCCCUAAAAGGCAAAAUAAAAUAAAAUAAAAUAAAAUAAAA
RNAcentral lists this long non-coding RNA (5294 nucleotides) under Sus scrofa (pig). Its description in RNAcentral is "lncRNA (ENSSSCG00035030349.1)". Lineage: Eukaryota; Metazoa; Chordata; Mammalia; Artiodactyla; Suidae. The record is from RNAcentral.